RNAcentral lists this ribosomal RNA (530 nucleotides) under Bacillus pumilus. Its description in RNAcentral is "bacterial SSU rRNA". It matches the Rfam family "Bacterial small subunit ribosomal RNA", at positions 83 to 599 of the family's 1533-position model. The record is from RNAcentral. Lineage: Bacteria; Bacillati; Bacillota; Bacilli; Caryophanales; Bacillaceae.
CUCCGGAUGUUAGCGGCGGACGGGUGAGUAACACGUGGGUAACCUGCCUGUAAGACUGGGAUAACUCCGGGAAACCGGAGCUAAUACCGGAUAGUUCCUUGAACCGCAUGGUUCAAGGAUGAAAGACGGUUUCGGCUGUCACUUACAGAUGGACCCGCGGCGCAUUAGCUAGUUGGUGGGGUAAUGGCUCACCAAGGCGACGAUGCGUAGCCGACCUGAGAGGGUGAUCGGCCACACUGGGACUGAGACACGGCCCAGACUCCUACGGGAGGCAGCAGUAGGGAAUCUUCCGCAAUGGACGAAAGUCUGACGGAGCAACGCCGCGUGAGUGAUGAAGGUUUUCGGAUCGUAAAGCUCUGUUGUUAGGGAAGAACAAGUGCGAGAGUAACUGCUCGCACCUUGACGGUACCUAACCAGAAAGCCACGGCUAACUACGUGCCACCAGCCGCGGUAAUACGUAGGUGGCAAGCGUUGUCCGGAAUUAUUGGGCGUAAAGGGCUCGCAGGCGGUUUCUUAAGUCUGAUGUGAAA